CAUUGCGAGACGUCUCAGACGCCUGAAGAACCAUUUUUCGACAAAAAUGCGUUCCUCGAUAAAAACACCUUCUAGGAAAACCAAACAAUCAUACGCACUAACAUCUUCUCAAACACGUAUCCUUCGCAGAGAGUCAAAAACCGUAAUAUCUACCGAUAAGUUUGUUGCUGAUCAAAACAAACUCUCAACGUCCUAAACAGACUAAGCCAUCUCGUAGAGAUAGCUCUCGUACACCCGACACAAGG
This 245-nucleotide long non-coding RNA is filed under the name Brassica napus (rape). Its description in RNAcentral is "long non-coding RNA (BNAP_LNC021475)". The record is from RNAcentral. Lineage: Eukaryota; Viridiplantae; Streptophyta; Magnoliopsida; Brassicales; Brassicaceae.